Molecule: ribosomal RNA, 661 nt
Filed under: Cortinarius sp. LM1088
Lineage: Eukaryota; Fungi; Basidiomycota; Agaricomycetes; Agaricales; Cortinariaceae
Description: eukaryotic LSU rRNA
Rfam family: 5.8S ribosomal RNA (bases 246-399)
Source: RNAcentral
CAUUAUUGAAAUAAACCUGAUGAGUUGCUGCUGGUUCUCUAGGGAGCAUGUGCACACUUGUCAUCUUUAUAUCUCCACCUGUGAACCUUUUGUAGACCUGGAUAUCUCUCUGAAUUUGCCUGGCAGAUUCGGGUUUAAGGAUUGAUCUGUUCUUUCCUUGUGUUUUCAGGUCUAUGUUUUUUCAUAUACCCCAAUGUAUGUUUAUAGAAUGUAAUAAACAGGCCUCUGUGCCUAUAAACUUAUACAACUUUCAGCAACGGAUCUCUUGGCUCUCGCAUCGAUGAAGAACGCAGCGAAAUGCGAUAAGUAAUGUGAAUUGCAGAAUUCAGUGAAUCAUCGAAUCUUUGAACGCAUCUUGCGCUCCUUGGUAUUCCGAGGAGCAUGCCUGUUUGAGUGUCAUUAAUAUAUCAACCCUCUUUUGCUUUUUUUGCAUGUCGAGUGUUGGAUGUGGGGGUUUUUGCUGGACUCUCUCCUUGAGGUCAGCUCUCCUAAAAUACAUUAGCAAAACAAUUUGUUUACUGCUCAUUGGUGUGAUAAAUAUCUACGCUAUUGGCGGUAUAAAGCACAGUUUAGCUUCUAACAGUCCAUUGACUUGAACAAUCUUUUAUCAAUGUGACCUCAAAUCAGGUAGGAUUACCCGCUGAACUUAAGCAUAUCAAUA